This 1529-nucleotide ribosomal RNA is filed under the name Bordetella pertussis. Its description in RNAcentral is "bacterial SSU rRNA". It matches the Rfam family "Bacterial small subunit ribosomal RNA". Lineage: Bacteria; Pseudomonadati; Pseudomonadota; Betaproteobacteria; Burkholderiales; Alcaligenaceae. The record is from RNAcentral.
GAACUGAAGAGUUUGAUCCUGGCUCAGAUUGAACGCUGGCGGGAGCUUUACACAUGCAAGUCGGACGGCAGCACGGGCUUCGGCCUGGUGGCGAGUGGCGAACGGGUGAGUAAUGUAUCGGAACGUGCCCAGUAGCGGGGGAUAACUACGCGAAAGCGUGGCUAAUACCGCAUACGCCCUACGGGGGAAAGCGGGGGACCUUCGGGCCUCGCACUAUUGGAGCGGCCGAUAUCGGAUUUAGCUAGUUGGUGGGGUAACGGCCUACCAAGGCGACGAUCCGUAGCUGGUUUGAGAGGACGACCAGCCACACUGGGACUGAGACACGGCCCAGACUCCUACGGGAGGCAGCAGUGGGGAAUUUUGGACAAUGGGGGCAACCCUGAUCCAGCCAUCCCGCGUGUGCGAUGAAGGCCUUCGGGUUGUAAAGCACUUUUGGCAGGAAAGAAACGGCACGGGCUAAUAUCCUGUGCAACUGACGGUACCUGCAGAAUAAGCACCGGCUAACUACGUGCCAGCAGCCGCGGUAAUACGUAGGGUGCAAGCGUUAAUCGGAAUUACUGGGCGUAAAGCGUGCGCAGGCGGUUCGGAAAGAAAGAUGUGAAAUCCCAGGGCUUAACCUUGGAACUGCAUUUUUAACUACCGGGCUAGAGUGUGUCAGAGGGAGGUGGAAUUCCGCGUGUAGCAGUGAAAUGCGUAGAUAUGCGGAGGAACACCGAUGGCGAAGGCAGCCUCCUGGGAUAACACUGACGCUCAUGCACGAAAGUGUGGGGAGCAAACAGGAUUAGAUACCCUGGUAGUCCACGCCCUAAACGAUGUCAACUAGCUGUUGGGGCCUUCGGGCCUUGGUAGCGCAGCUAACGCGUGAAGUUGACCGCCUGGGGAGUACGGUCGCAAGAUUAAAACUCAAAGGAAUUGACGGGGACCCGCACAAGCGGUGGAUGAUGUGGAUUAAUUCGAUGCAACGCGAAAAACCUUACCUACCCUUGACAUGUCUGGAAUCCCGAAGAGAUUUGGGAGUGCUCGCAAGAGAACCGGAACACGUGCUGCAUGGCUGUCGUCAGCUCGUGUCGUGAGAUGUUGGGUUAAGUCCCGCAACGAGCGCAACCCUUGUCAUUAGUUGCUACGAAAGGGCACUCUAAUGAGACUGCCGGUGACAAACCGGAGGAAGGUGGGGAUGACGUCAAGUCCUCAUGGCCCUUAUGGGUAGGGCUUCACACGUCAUACAAUGGUCGGGACAGAGGGUUGCCAACCCGCGAGGGGGAGCCAAUCCCAGAAACCCGGUCGUAGUCCGGAUCGCAGUCUGCAACUCGACUGCGUGAAGUCGGAAUCGCUAGUAAUCGCGGAUCAGCAUGUCGCGGUGAAUACGUUCCCGGGUCUUGUACACACCGCCCGUCACACCAUGGGAGUGGGUUUUACCAGAAGUAGUUAGCCUAACCGCAAGGGGGGCGAUUACCACGGUAGGAUUCAUGACUGGGGUGAAGUCGUAACAAGGUAGCCGUAUCGGAAGGUGCGGCUGGAUCACCUCCUUU